GACGAACGCUGGCGGCGUGCUUAACACAUGCAAGUCGAACGGAAAGGCCCUGCUUUUGUGGGGUGCUCGAGUGGCGAACGGGUGAGUAACACGUGAGUAACCUGCCCUUGACUUUGGGAUAACUUCAGGAAACUGGGGCUAAUACCGGAUAGGAGCUCCUGCUGCAUGGUGGGGGUUGGAAAGUUUCGGCGGUUGGGGAUGGACUCGCGGCUUAUCAGCUUGUUGGUGGGGUAGUGGCUUACCAAGGCUUUGACGGGUAGCCGGCCUGAGAGGGUGACCGGCCACAUUGGGACUGAGAGACGGCCCAGACUCCUACGGGAGGCAGCAGUGGGGAAUAUUGCAGAAUGGGCGGAAGCCUGAUGCAGCAACGCCGCGUGCGGGAUGACGGCCUUCGGGUUGUAAACCGCUUUCGCCUGUGACGAAGCGUGAGUGACGGUAAUGGGUAAAGAAGCACCGGCUAACUACGUG
This 468-nucleotide ribosomal RNA is filed under the name uncultured bacterium. RNAcentral describes it as "partial 16S ribosomal RNA". It matches the Rfam family "Bacterial small subunit ribosomal RNA", at positions 28 to 507 of the family's 1533-position model. The record is from RNAcentral.